Molecule: transfer RNA, 64 nt
Filed under: Membranacea stenoprocessa
Lineage: Eukaryota; Metazoa; Arthropoda; Insecta; Hemiptera; Cicadellidae
Description: tRNA-Leu
Source: RNAcentral
AUUAAAUUGGCAGACAAGUGCUUUAAGUUUAGAACUUAAUAAUGUGUUAAUUUCACAUUUAAUA